This 301-nucleotide ribosomal RNA is filed under the name Paramoeba aestuarina. Its description in RNAcentral is "partial Eukaryotic small subunit ribosomal RNA". It matches the Rfam family "Eukaryotic small subunit ribosomal RNA", at positions 101 to 406 of the family's 1831-position model. Lineage: Eukaryota; Discosea; Flabellinia; Dactylopodida; Paramoebidae. The record is from RNAcentral.
UUAAAUCAGUUAUGUUUAUUUGAUAGUACCUUACUACAUGGAUAACCGUGGUAAUUCUAGAGCUAAUACAUGCUAAAAAUCCCGACUUCGGAAGGGAUGUAUUUAUUAGAUUAAAAACCAAUGCCCUUCGGGGCUCUCUGGUGAUUCAUAAUAACUUCUCGAAUCGCACGGCCUUGCGCCGGCGAUGGUUCAUUCAAAUUUCUGCCCUAUCAACUUUCGACGGCUGGGUCUUGGCCAGCCAUGGUGACAACGGGUAACGGAGGGUUAGGGCUCGACCCCGGAGAAGGAGCCUGAGAAACGG